Molecule: ribosomal RNA, 292 nt
Filed under: uncultured bacterium
Lineage: Bacteria
Description: partial 16S ribosomal RNA
Rfam family: Bacterial small subunit ribosomal RNA
Source: RNAcentral
GUGCCAGCAGCCGCGGUAAUACGUAGGUGGCAAGCGUUAUCCGGAAUUAUUGGGCGUAAAGCGCGCGCAGGUGGUUUCUUAAGUCUGAUGUGAAAGCCCACGGCUCAACCGUGGAGGGUCAUUGGAAACUGGGAGACUUGAGUGCAGAAGAGGAAAGUGGAAUUCCAUGUGUAGCGGUGAAAUGCGUAGAGAUAUGGAGGAACACCAGUGGCGAAGGCGACUUUCUGGUCUGUAACUGACACUGAGGCGCGAAAGCGUGGGGAGCAAACAGGAUUAGAAACCCCCGUAGUCC